GUCCUUCCCGGAGCCGGGAAUGCAGGAGUCAGUGUCCUCUCCCGGUGCUGGGGAUGCCAGGGCCAGUGUCCUCCCCCGGUGUCCUCCCCCGGUGUCCUACCCAGACGAACGAGGUUUGGGACCUGCCCCCGCAUCCUUCCUCGGCUGCUCCUCGGGGCUCACAAAGGGUUUUCCGGAGUUUCGGCGGAGGAAGGUGGCCUGUCCCCACGCAGGGUUCUGCAAACCCGCAGCUGACGAACCCCGACGUCAGUAGAUGUCUCUAUUAAUAGUGAAGAGGAACUCUGAAAUGCCCAUGACAAAGGCUGGGACUGCAGGUUCCUGUUCCCAAGCCAGUAACGCGUAUUUCGGUGUAAAACACCCCUGAUGUCACCUUCCCUCUCCGGGAGAUUCCGGGCAGGCAGCGAGAACUAUAAGAGUGGGACUCAGGCACGGGCAGGGCAGAAGGCAUGGAGCUAGCCUGGAGCACCGCACACACCGAGACCGCACUGGCAGCCAAAAUGGGCAGCUCUUUCUCUACAAGUGCAGACGUGGACAGGGAACAUGGCCCCGCCGUCUGCUUCCAUGGGUAGAGCCCACAGUCCAGCUGGGAGAUGAAGGAUUGAGACCUCGCUGACGCUUCUUCUUUCUCCCUGCUGCCCCACUGCCCUCCAUGCCCUGCAGGAGCUGCAGCAUGGAGGGGCCCAGCUGUAGCUCUGCGGGCAAAGGAACCGCCAGGGAGACAGUGGGAGCUCAGCAAGAGUCGGCAGCAACAUUUUCUGCUUUCCAGCUGGGGUGGGACACUUCUGCUGGCAAAGAGGAGCUCUGCCAUCCCUCUUGUCACAGGAGUGUUUCAUGGUUGGGAGGUACCAAAUAACUCCCGUAAAAUGCUGUCCCAGGUAUGCUCUGCUUCACGCUGCCAAUGGGACAAGAAUUUUGGUAUUUCUGCAACAACCUUACUGUCUGUCUUGUCCAAAACAACAAAAUAAACAAAGCCAUGUGUACCUUG
Non-coding RNA from Zonotrichia albicollis (white-throated sparrow), 985 nucleotides. NCBI's taxonomy places the organism in Eukaryota, Metazoa, Chordata, Aves, Passeriformes, Passerellidae. The record is from RefSeq and is a predicted model, not a curated record.